Brassica napus (rape) is the source of this 6422-nucleotide long non-coding RNA. RefSeq lists it as uncharacterized. The record is from RefSeq and is a predicted model, not a curated record. The transcript is spliced from 3 exons. NCBI's taxonomy places the organism in Eukaryota, Viridiplantae, Streptophyta, Magnoliopsida, Brassicales, Brassicaceae.
ACCAAUCGUCUGUUACAGUCCACAAUGUUAACCGCUUGGACCGAAACUCAAGUCCGUACGGGCCAAGCCAUGAUAAUAUUUUAGUUUUUUGUAUAUUUUCUAUUUUAUACAAAAACGUUUUUAGAAUUCUUUACAAAAAUAUUUUGGUGUAACAUUAUUUAGUUUAUAUUAGUUUGGGGAAUUGGAUAGCAUAUACAUAAGGAAGACCGAAAUUAAUUGUAUAACCAUAUUAAGGACUUGGCUAUGAUAUUAUGCAUAAUGUUUAAAAAGUGACAAAAAAUACUUUUAUCUCUACGCGUGAAAAAGGUUUGAUGUCUAGUUCUCUUCUUCAAUCAAAAGAUUUCUUUCACUUUGACACAAAUCUUUGAAGAUUGAUGAAGCAUCAGAGAGGGAGAAAAGAGAGAUAGAAAUUGAAGAGAGUGACAGUAGAUGAGAGAGGCUGAGGUUGUUCGAGAAGCUAAUUUAGGGUUCUUGCGGCGACGAGUUUGUGGCGGUGCGAGUAAGGAGCAUAAGUUACCGCGCAACGAUCGGUGAAAGAGGUGUACGACGGCUACAGAAGAAGAUAACCUAACAUCUAUUUCAAAUUUUACCUUUUGCUGUUAUUUUUUAUGUAUCACCAGAAAAAUGAAAGAUUUGCAUGUUUGUGUGAGUAGUUUAUGCAGAGAUUGUAUAUCUAAGUUUCUGGGUUGGAGAUAGUGAUGUAUAUUGUAAGCGAACAAAACUAUACUAUAGUAACGUGUGAGAUAGUAUAGUAGCGACUGAAUUGUGUUGCAUGCUUUUAAAGAUAUGAUUGGACUCCAGCACUGUAAGUAAACAUUAACACUUUGGUUUAUUCAUCUGUAUUGCUAUAAAAUUUCUACUAUUAUGAGUCUAUUACAUUCCUCGCGUAGGUACCAGUACCCAUUGGUACUAUAUUACUUAGCUUGUCUUAGUACUAUGGAAUCUUUUAUUGUAUUCAUUUACAUAUGUUCCGUUUUAUACUAGCUGUGUAUGUGUAUUGUGUAACUCCAUCCCACAAUGUAACUAGGUCAAGACUCGUCUAUGUUGAUGUGUGCAGUGACUACAUACUUUAUAUAUCUUUCAGGCUGCAAUUACUGGGACACGAGAUGAGACUGCAACCACCAUUCAAAAAAACAACCAGGUGGUACUUUUUUGCCAGUUAAUGCCCCUGAUAGGGCGCCUGUGGUAUCGGUCCUGCUAGCGUCUGACCAGCCUAUACGCCCAACCGUAUAGACAUGUCAGCAUCCAAUGCGCCUCGAGUUUUCCCUAGUCAUGGUGUGGCUGAGUCCAGCAUUGUUGCAUCACUGGGGAUCAGAGUUGCUGAUGCCUCUUGUAUCGCAGAAGGCUAGACACGCUCUGUUAUGUCACCGCAUAAGGCCACUAACGUGGAUCCGCCUCCAACAGGCUAGACAAUGUCACCCAUGUGGUACCAAGCGUUUCUUUCCUUACGCGUACGCUCAAUGAUGUUGAUCUUGAUUGUGUCAACUGCGGUUCAAUCCCUUUGUAUUAUUGUGCACCUUUUGUAAGAGGAUACACACAAGUUUCUGCUUUAGUGGCAUACUUCAGUUUUUCAUAUGUUAAUUCCCACACUGUACCAAAUAUGCAGGUUUGCUAUGUAGAAUAUGCAACAAAUAAUUAAGUAGAGAGUGUGUACUUUUGUAGGUGAGAUGUGAUGUUAUGUUGGUAACUAUACUAUGCAUUGUAUACAUAUCAUAGUUUGUUUGUCAUUAGAAUAAUUGUUGGUUAGUGUACAAACGUAUCCACUAUAGUCGCUGUAGAACCUAAAAUCUACACUAAGUAUUUGAUAGUGAUCGGGGUUUGAUCUAGGGAAGACAAAUGAUGUAGGCAACGAUAUAUUUAAAACACAACGAUGUUAAAUAGUUUCCAGUAGGUGAAAAUAGACUUUAUUGAUGAAUAAGAUCGAAUACAAUGAAUUGAACUAGAUCGAGUGAUACAAACGAGAUCGGUAAAGAAAGAAUCUAAAAGUAGGAAGACAACGAGAUCGAUGUAAGUGUGUAGCUCUCUCAAGGGUUUUCAACGUGUCCUCCUCUGUUUCCACUCCUCUUCCUUUAUAGUAAGUCGACUUCGAGAUCUCUGUGGUAGCUCCGCGAUCUCAGCUUCUUGUUGCACGAUCUCCGCGACCUCGGCGACUCCUUCUCGAGCUCGUAUUCAUGCUACGGGCUCCGGCCCUUUAAGGCCCAUGCCUUUGAUCGCGGCCCAUUAUGGUAUUGACCAAAAUUGGGUCCAACAUUUGUCCCCCAGCCUCUUUUGAUUUGAUCGAAAAGGAAAAAUGGCGGUUAUCUUUUAACCUGGGUCUUGUCGUUUGGUAACCGAUAUCACUCGGAUUCGGUUUUAAUGAUCGUUUUCGAAAAAAGUCGUUCGUUGGCGCAUUUUUUUAAUUAUUAUUUUAAUCGGUAACGGCUACUUUAGCCGCCGCUAGGGCAUAGGCUAGGUCAUAAUUGCUUUUCUUGAUAGCGAUGAUAAGGUGGCUUAUAUAUACGUAGAGGAUCUUCUUUUUGCCUCACCUCUGCUUCUUCUUUCUCGUCUCUUUCUCCUUUGCUCUGAAUCUUUCUGUUCUUUGAGCUCAAGAUGUGUUCGUCUUUUAAUUUUCCUCAUCCGACUACUACAGCCGAUGAUCUCGAGAACCUUUAUAAGGUGUAUGGGGUUGAUCGUUCCGUCAUCCUUGACUUGGUCGGUACGCAUGAGAAUCCGAAACCGUGAGAGAAGGCUACUAAGGAGCCUAUCUUUCCUUCUUUCACUCCUGCGGUCUUAUCUUCCCGAUCCCGGAGCCAAUACUCUAGGUCCUGGUGGAGCUUGGGUUUUCGCUUACCCAGCUUCUCCCGAACUUUCUUAGGCAUCUUGUCGCCUUCUUGGUUAAGGCUAGGGAGGAGGGUGCUUUUGGUCUUAGCGAGUUUCGUCAGCUCAUUCUGGUGAAGCAGAAUAAGCAGAACCCUGGUACUUUCCUCGUGUCUCCGCGCCCAGGUCGCCACGUCAUCGAGGACAUCCCUUAUCGUGACGAGAAGUGGCGCGAGUAAUUUUUUGUUUUCAAGAUGGAUCGAGCAUCUAUGGGUAACUUUGACUUCUCCCAGCUUCCCCGGCGUUGGGCCGAGAAUAUCGGUUAGUUUUCUUUUGCCUAUGUGUUGAUGAUUUUUUUUUUUUUUGGGAGUCGAAGACUAAAAAUUUUUCGUUUGAUUCAGUUCCUUCUGGAAGCUCUUCAAUGUCAGAUGAGAUCUGUGGUCUGAUGAGGGUCCUUCGGAGAGGUCGUUCGAACUGGUCUACUUUUGAUCGAACUCGGAUUCAAACUGUCUUCGCCUUGCCGGUGAGGACCGACAGGGCUCCUUUGGUUGAGGAGUCUAAAGACGAGGCCGAACAUUCCCAGGAGGUCGUAGCGACUCCUUCUGUUCAGACCCAGUCUUCAGAUCGGCUAACUAGACAGCUUGUGAGGAGGUCGUCGUUCCGAACUUCUGGGUCUGCAUCGAGGGGCCGAGCUUCCGGAAAAUCUCCCUUGAUAUCGAUUCAUGAUUCCGACGACGAAGAUGUUUCAGGAGAGAAUCGACAUCCUGUCUCGUUGAGUCCUGGCUCAGAAGACGAGACCGUGGCAGCGCCUCGCAAGCGACGUAGGUCAUUGGAGGGUGCCUUGCCUGGUCCGUCUCAUCCUAGGUUUGUUUCUGAGGUAGAUGGUUCUUCGUUUACGGCCCAAAGCGACCUAAUUUCCCUCGCUGGUCGCAUGAGGUCUGUGGGUUGCUCGCUGGUCGCAUGAGGUCUGUGGGUUGCCGUCUCCCAUCUCUUGCUUCCUCAGUCGAGAGGGAAGCCUACGCCAAGGUGGUUGUGGCAAGCUCUAAGGUUCGUUUCUCGCCUUCAUUCUAUUUGAAAAGCUGUUUUGUGGUAUUUGCUUAUUUCGAUUUCUUCUUAGGUGAUGGAAGCUUUUAAUGAAUAUGUCGUGACGAUGGAAGAUCAUGUCGUGGCUUCUCGGAACGACAAGGAAAUCGAGAGCAUUGGUUUUGAGAUCAAGAGGCUUUCGAAGGAGCUCCAAGCCACCAAGCAAGAAGGGAAGAAGGAUGCCAAAAAGAUCGAAGAUUUGACUGAAGACUGGAGGAGAGUUCAUCUGGAGAAAGAGGCUCUCACGUUCCAGAUGGUUUCUCAAAUGGCAAGAAUUACGGCAAUCGAGGUCGGGAGAGAUCGGGACAUUCGCCGCGCUUCUCGUAUUGCUCGUCGCCAUAUCGCGGCUAAGUAUCGGGAAGUUCUUGAAUCUUUGAAGGAUAGGUGGGCGAGCAAGAAGAGGGAAGUAUCUGCUGAGAUCCAGCUACAAGAGGUGACCGCCAACAUCGAUCUCCUGACCGAGCUCAAGGAUGGGGGGCCUGACUAUGGAUGCGGAGCUUGCUCGAUCAAAAGGGAAUGGAAGGAGACUGUGAGGAUUUUGUCGCCUCCACCGCCGUGCCGGAUUAGUCGAUCUCCGAGCUCGAUCUUCCUCAAGUCUCAGAUGAUUCGGUGGAUCAAGUCGGGGGGUCGUCUGUCCCCGAUGAUUCCGUUUCUAGUUAGUUUUUUCUUCUUUUUUUUGUUUAAUAUCUUUUUGUUUUUGACGAUCUUUGAUCUUGAUAUCUUGGAUAUCUUUUAAUGGAUAAGCAUAAUAUUUCGGAAUAUCCCUGUUUCCUUAGCUUUCGAAAUUCUUUUUGUUCGGGUUGUUGAGAUAUGGUGAGGUUCCGGUCUUUAUAAAGCUUUGGCUUUGCUCUAGGAUUCGUCAUAGUAUUUCAUUUAGGGUACGAACUCGAACUGGUAGUGCCAAUGCGGAACGUAUUAGAUCCGGAGAUGUGAGUGAUGCGCUCACAGAAGUUCUUCGUGAGGAGACCCGACUUCUGCAGCCUUCAACCAAAGGGGCCAAAUAUCCUGAGGGUGAAAAAUAUGUUGCUUGUGUUAAGUCGAGUAGCCCAACGGGUUCGGAGGGGCGUGAUCGUCCUUCGAAGAAGGCUAAAACAAAUGGUUCGGACCAUCGUCUUAGUGUCCCGGGUGAAGCAGCUGUUGCUAAGCCGUUUCAUUGGCAGUUCUCGCAUUCCAAGGAUUGUCCUAUUACGGAAGAUCCAUAUAGUGUUGCUCAUUUGGUGAGGCACUUCACACCCGCUGGAUGUCCGCUUCCCUCUCUGCAUAAUAUGACUGAGCGCGAGGCUUACGUAAAGAUGGAUGUGGUCCAUUCCAAGGUCUUUCUUUUUGAAAUUUGAUCCUUGUCGAAUCUUUGGUUCGUUUUGUCUGUACUGAUUUGCCAUGUUUCAGGCUAUGAAGGUUAACAACGAGUUUGCGGCAACUUUUGAAAAACGCCUGCAGGAUGUUCCGCGCUCUGACAAAAUUUACGAAAUAAAGAAAGUCGUUCGCGAGCUAAAGCUCAGUCUAAAGAUGGCUCAAGACUAGAAGCGUGCCAAUGCUGCUCAACUGGCUGCCGCUGAAAAGCUGGGGAAUCAGGCUGCUUCGCUCGAAGCUCGUCUGCGAGUUGUGAGCAACGAAAGGAAGUCGGCCCUCGAGCAAGUUUCCUUCUUGGAAGCGAAGGUUGAAUCUUCUGCCAAUAAGUUCUCUGACGACCUUCGCCGCGCGACUUAUGAUGCCAAAAAGACUAUGGCGGAUAGCUAUCUAGAUGUGCUGGUCUCUCUAAAGGAGAAAUGGGAAAAGAAGAAGGCUGCAACUGAUUGGGAGGCUCGUCUUCGGGAAGUCGUGGCAAAUAUAGAUCUUUUGAAGGAGAUCAUGAACAACAAUCUCCUGGCUUCGGAUGAGUUGUUGCGGCUUCGAGCGAAGGAGGUCAAGCUUGGGUCCGAGGUCGAUGUGAUGGCGACUUCGGAUUUCUCCGUUGGCAAGCUCGACUUGCCUCAGAUUUCGGAGGAUGAUGCCAAAGUAUUUCUUUGCUAAGGUCCCUUCCACGGCGGACAACGUGGCGAAUUGCUCGGGUGAUCGCUUUGAGGAUGGUGAAUUCAGCAUCAAAGAGUAGCUUUAGGGACUUUCUUUGCUUUUCCCUCUGCUUUUUGUUGCUUUAUUAUUUGCUUAUUUAAUAAAGAAGGGAUCGUGGGUCCCGAUUUAUUUGUUGCCAUUUUUAUGUUUUAUGCGGGGCCGAUUUUUUUGGGCCAUGUGUCGAUUUGUUGUAGAUACUUUUAUCGACAGUUUCGAUGUAACAAAAGAUUUUGUUAGCCAGUUUUGUCGCGCUUGUUGGCGGAGUUGGCCGCAACCGAGGACUUGAUCAGGGUCCUGGUUUUUGGUCAACUAUCGCAGGUAUGCGAUUUUCUUAUAUGAAAAGUCUGAUGUGUUCGAAUUUCUAUGAACUGUAUUUAUUAAGAUGUCGGACUCUGUUUCGUUAUAUAUUUGUGAAAAGAAGGCAGUUUUUGAUAUUGUCGUGUCGUUAUUCCUCGGGUGUUGCGAUAUGCCCACUUUGAGUUCUGUAGGUGGAA